GGGCCUGUAGUACAGUGGUAAUACAUUCCCUUCGCAUGGGAAAGGCGGGAGUUCGAUUCUCCCCAGGUCCA
This 71-nucleotide transfer RNA is filed under the name Candidatus Parcubacteria bacterium. RNAcentral describes it as "tRNA-Ala". It matches the Rfam family "tRNA". Rfam says of the family: Transfer RNA (tRNA) molecules are approximately 80 nucleotides in length. Their secondary structure includes four short double-helical elements and three loops (D, anti-codon, and T loops). Lineage: Bacteria; Candidatus Parcubacteria. The record is from RNAcentral.